Molecule: ribosomal RNA, 2114 nt
Filed under: Salmonella enterica subsp. enterica serovar Enteritidis
Lineage: Bacteria; Pseudomonadati; Pseudomonadota; Gammaproteobacteria; Enterobacterales; Enterobacteriaceae
Description: partial 23S ribosomal RNA
Rfam family: Bacterial large subunit ribosomal RNA
Source: RNAcentral
GGUUAAGCGACUAAGCGUACACGGUGGAUGCCCUGGCAGUCAGAGGCGAUGAAGGGCGUGCUAAUCUGCGAUAAGCGCCGGUAAGGUGAUAUGAACCGUUAUAACCGGCGAUACCCGAAUGGGGAAACCCAGUGUGACUCGUCACACUAUCAUUAACUGAAUCCAUAGGUUAAUGAGGCGAACCGGGGGAACUGAAACAUCUAAGUACCCCGAGGAAAAGAAAUCAACCGAGAUUCCCCCAGUAGCGGCGAGCGAACGGGGAGGAGCCCAGAGCCUGAAUCAGCAUGUGUGUUAGUGGAAGCGUCUGGAAAGGCGCGCGAUACAGGGUGACAGCCCCGUACACAAAAGCGCAUGUGCUGUGAGCUCGAUGAGUAGGGCGGGACACGUGGUAUCCUGUCUGAAUAUGGGGGGACCAUCCUCCAAGGCUAAAUACUCCUGACUGACCGAUAGUGAACCAGUACCGUGAGGGAAAGGCGAAAAGAACCCCGGCGAGGGGAGUGAAAAAGAACCUGAAACCGUGUACGUACAAGCAGUGGGAGCACCCUUUGGGUGUGACUGCGUACCUUUUGUAUAAUGGGUCAGCGACUUAUAUUCUGUAGCAAGGUUAACCGAAUAGGGGAGCCGGAGGGAAACCGAGUCUUAAUUGGGCGUUAAGUUGCAGGGUAUAGACCCGAAACCCGGUGAUCUAGCCAUGGGCAGGUUGAAGGUUGGGUAACACUAACUGGAGGACCGAACCGACUAAUGUUGAAAAAUUAGCGGAUGACCUGUGGCUGGGGGUGAAAGGCCAAUCAAACCGGGAGAUAGCUGGUUCUCCCCGAAAGCUAUUUAGGUAGCGCCUCGUGAAUUCAUCUCCGGGGGUAGAGCACUGUUUCGGCUAGGGGGCCAUCCCGGCUUACCAACCCGAUGCAAACUGCGAAUACCGGAGAAUGUUAUCACGGGAGACACACGGCGGGUGCUAACGUCCGUCGUGAAGAGGGAAACAACCCAGACCGCCAGCUAAGGUCCCAAAGUCAUGGUUAAGUGGGAAACGAUGUGGGAAGGCCCAGACAGCCAGGAUGUUGGCUUAGAAGCAGCCAUCAUUUAAAGAAAGCGUAAUAGCUCACUGGUCGAGUCGGCCUGCGCGGAAGAUGUAACGGGGCUAAACCAUGCACCGAAGCUGCGGCAGCGACGCUUAUGCGUUGUUGGGUAGGGGAGCGUUCUGUAAGCCUGCGAAGGUGGCCUGUGAGGGUUGCUGGAGGUAUCAGAAGUGCGAAUGCUGACAUAAGUAACGAUAAAGCGGGUGAAAAGCCCGCUCGCCGGAAGACCAAGGGUUCCUGUCCAACGUUAAUCGGGGCAGGGUGAGUCGACCCCUAAGGCGAGGCCGAAAGGCGUAGUCGAUGGGAAACGGGUUAAUAUUCCCGUACUUGGUGUUACUGCGAAGGGGGGACGGAGAAGGCUAUGUUGGCCGGGCGACGGUUGUCCCGGUUUAAGCGUGUAGGCUGGUUUUCCAGGCAAAUCCGGAAAAUCAAGGCUGAGGCGUGAUGACGAGGCACUACGGUGCUGAAGCAACAAAUGCCCUGCUUCCAGGAAAAGCCUCUAAGCAUCAGGUAACAUCAAAUCGUACCCCAAACCGACACAGGUGGUCAGGUAGAGAAUACCAAGGCGCUUGAGAGAACUCGGGUGAAGGAACUAGGCAAAAUGGUGCCGUAACUUCGGGAGAAGGCACGCUGACACGUAGGUGAAGUGAUUUACUCACGGAGCUGAAGUCAGUCGAAGAUACCAGCUGGCUGCAACUGUUUAUUAAAAACACAGCACUGUGCAAACACGAAAGUGGACGUAUACGGUGUGACGCCUGCCCGGUGCCGGAAGGUUAAUUGAUGGGGUCAGCGCAAGCGAAGCUCCUGAUCGAAGCCCCGGUAAACGGCGGCCGUAACUAUAACGGUCCUAAGGUAGCGAAAUUCCUUGUCGGGUAAGUUCCGACCUGCACGAAUGGCGUAAUGAUGGCCAGGCUGUCUCCACCCGAGACUCAGUGAAAUUGAACUCGCUGUGAAGAUGCAGUGUACCCGCGGCAAGACGGAAAGACCCCGUGAACCUUUACUAUAGCUUGACACUGAACAUUGAGCCUUGAUGUGUAG